This is a long non-coding RNA of Xenopus tropicalis (tropical clawed frog), 3203 nucleotides long. RefSeq annotates it as cyclin-dependent kinase 7. The record is from RefSeq and is a predicted model, not a curated record. The transcript is spliced from 8 exons. Lineage: Eukaryota; Metazoa; Chordata; Amphibia; Anura; Pipidae.
GGAAAGGGUUGCGCGGAGAAUGGAGGGGAUAAUGGCGAGAGGGGUGGAUGUGCGCUCCCGUUCCAAGCAGUAUGAGAAGCUGGAGUUCCUGGGGGAAGGCCAGUUUGCCACAGUUUAUAAAGCAAGAGACAAGAAUACAGAUAGAAUUGUGGCCAUUAAAAAGAUUAAACUGGGACAUAGAGCAGAGGCUAAAGGUGGUAUAAACAGAACAGCGCUGAGAGAGAUAAAGCUGCUGCAGGAGUUAAGCCAUCCUAAUAUCAUUGGCCUGCUGGAUGCUUUUGGACACAAAUCAAACAUAAGCCUGGUGUUUGAUUUUAUGGAGACAGAUCUUGAGGUUAUAAUAAAAGAUACCAGCUUGGUAUUAACUCCAGCUCAUAUUAAAUCAUACAUGCUGAUGACUCUGCAGGGCUUGGAAUAAGUAGACCAUCUCUGGAUCCUGCACAGAGAGAAUGUGUUCUUAAAGAUCCCAAUACCUGUAUAAGGCAGCAGUCAUGGAGGAAUUUAUAGAACAGCUGAUUUAGGCCAACAUUAUACAACAGCAAACAUGCAAAGGAAGCUACACGGAGAUCUUAACUGAAAAGACACGAGCAAGCCAUGGCUCUGCAAAAGCAAAACCAGCUAGAAGCCAGUAGACUACUAAUGGAUCAAAUCAAUGCACAGACAGAGCCUCCCAGUGAGAUCCCAGAUGUUUGAUCUUGCUCACCUGGUGAAGAAAUUACUACAACUAGAGAAAUCAACACUUGCACGGAUCACUGAUAGAGCGGCAUUGGACUAAUACAUCAGGUCUCUUCUUGCUACAAUCCAGCACUUGGUAGGACAAGGGGACCCCAAAAAUAUGGAAUGGUUGGUAAACUAAGUGGGAAGGCACAAAGUAAUAGAGGAUUUACUCCAAUAAGCAACUUCAGUCAGAGAAAUUGUAAGAUGUCUAGCGAUCCUGGUAAUACUGCUAUUUUUAAUAAAGGGGGUAAGCGAGCCAAUAUAUAUAUAUAUAUAUAUAUAUAUAUAUAUAAUAUAUUCCUUAAUAUCACCAUAUAUAAGCAAUAUCCCACACAGCUAUGGCUACAAUUAAAACCCUCUGUGGUACUAUCUGUCAUAAGGUUUGAGUGGUAAAAUCACUUUAUGCAUAAGGUAAUACUGUGAAGGGAUUUCCCCUUAUUUUGGAAAACCCAGUAUAAAAAGAAAUAAGUUCAUAUUAAGGCAUAACUAAGGCUGUACCUAUUGAUUACAGUCCUGAGCCAGCAGAAAGAGUUUUGUGCCAGACUCUGUGUGAAGGGUAGCUGUACUUCCAGAGACUUAUGAGUUUGAGGCUGUUUACCCAUAUGUUCAUAUUAGAGGUUUUGUGUAAUAAUUUUGGGACUGCCCAAUUAAGGUACCUGAUGCUAAUAAAUGCCUGGGGAAAUAAAACAAACAGAAAACCUCAUUUUCCUGGAGGUAUAGCCACACUUGGCUAAAAAAUCCAAGAUUUGCUGUACCAAGUUGAUAUUCACAGGGAAAUAGUAGAAUAGCUAUUAGUACCCCAACCAUGUAGCAGAAUGGUAUAAGAUAUGGCCCACAUGUGUUUGCAGGACACCUGGGCUGUGCUAAACCGAAAGAACCUAAUUUCCGUAGGUUUUUUAGAGUUCAAGAGGUCUUUCCCAGAGUGUUAGUUAACUGGGCCUAUGCCACAUCUUAGAUCCCCUUGGUACCUCUUCCCAUCACAGAGUUUCUGUUAGAAAGAAUAACUGUAAAAUUAAUUGGACCAUUGCUGAAAUUCUCUAGGGGAUACCAAUAUAUACUAUUGGUUUUGAAAUAUGCCAUAAGCGACUCAGAGGUGAUCCCUUUAUGAAGAACUGGUACAUAUGUUAUUUUGUAUUGGUAUCCCCAAAGAAAUCCUUACUGAUUAAGGUACUCCAGGAAAAAUUUGCCCCAGUGCAGAAACAAACUGCAACCAGAUAGGACUAAAGUUUAAUUAGUCUACUUUAAUGAAAAUGGCAAUAGCCUUAUUUCUAUGGGUGCCUUUUCUUUGCACCUGUACAUUAGCCAGACAUGUUAAAUAGGCAAAAGUAUCUGGAUACCUUGGUACCAACUUGUCCCUCCUUUUGCUGCUAUAACAGCCUCUAAUCUUUGGGGAAGGCUUUCACUUGAUGUUGGUGGUGGAAUUUGCUUUUAUUAAAGCCUCAUGGUGUUGACACUGAUAUUAGGCAUUCAGGCCUAGCUCAUGUCAUCUUCCAGGUGUUUAACAUAUUGAUGUCAUUGCUCUAUGCAGGCUAUUCGAGUGAUUUUCGUCCCAUCUCUGAACAAGAGUAGUUACCAAUGGCAACCAAUCAACAUUUAGCUUUGCAGUCUGCUACAAAUUAGUCUACUUCAAAUAAGGAGACAAGUCCCAAGAAAGGGACACUAACAUGUUCCUAAUGAAAAGUCAUAGGAACAUGUUAGUAUUACUAAUGAGUUGCAGCAAAAAAAUCUAACCAGCAAAAAGUCCCCCAAAGGAGCCCCCAGCCAAGUGGUCCCAAGUGACACUCCGACACAGUAAAAGGAUUCUUUGCAAUUGUGUCCAUCCCGCUGGGUUGGGGCAGAUUGAUCCUUCAAUAGGCUGGAGUACUGUUUCCAUUUAUAGUUAGCCUAUGGAAGGAUAAUGCCACCCCCAACCUAGCGUGAUACAGAGAAACAGCUUGGCUCAUUCUGCUUUCUACCACCUUAAAGACAAGCGGGUAUCGCUGGACUAGGGGUAGCUGUGUGGAGUUUUACCUUAAAUGAUGUUCAUGGCACAACCAUUUAGUAAUACUGAAUACUGAAUUCCUACAUUUUUAAUUUUCUUCUUGGUUCCUUAUUCUUCCUGACUUCUUUCUUGACUUCCUUACAGUUUUUCUUUUGGUGGCCUGUCCUGCCUUGUCUUCCUCUGCUUCAGUGCUUCAGUUCUAAUGCUUCUGCUUUAAGCCAUCUGCUGUACUUUCAGAUGAUUUUCUGUAAUAGGAAAAGUAUAGGAUUAUUUUAUAAAGGUACAACAUGAAGAAAAGGAGAAAACUAUACUUACUGCUUGAAUAAUUGUCAUAAUAUUAAUAUAUCAGUGCUAUCAAACCUAAUAUGCAACCCACAGUAUACACCAUUAGCUUACUGAUGUCUUCCAUUUCAUCAGCAAAAAUGCCCUUUUCAUCUCUGUAACUUUAUAGAUUACAUGGCAGAAAAAAUAUAAUUAAAGUACAUGGUUGAGGUUCAACAGACAC